UUUGACAUUUUUGCUGCUAUAUAAAGUUAGGCGAUUUACUCUGUGUUUUUCGUCUUGAUUUAUUGUUUCGAUAAUCUUAGGUUAUAAAGAACUAUUGAACUCGAUUUUCAGUCUAAAAGACACAUACUUGCUGGACUCGGUUUUGUUAGAAGAGCAUUGCAUGAUUGAAGGACUGACAAAUUAUUUGCUAAACUAUUUGCAGAAUGUCUCUGAUUUAGAAAAUGUGAUUGUAAAGUAUUCACUGUUUCAUUAGGUCUCAGGUUCAAAUUUCAGCAGAGACGAAAAUAUAAAGGUGAUUCCUUUGCAUAUGUCCUAGUCUUGGUGGAUAGUGUUACCUGAUAUUUGUUGUUGGUGGGAGGGUGCAGGUAUCCGUGGAAUUAGUCGAGAAGGUUUCAGGUUCAAAUUUAAGCAGAGGCAACAACAUAAGGUGAUUUUUUCUCGUGUCCUAGUCUUGGUGGACAAAGUUAUUUGGUACUUGUUGUUUUUCGUGGGAGGUGGCAGGUAUCUCGUGCAAUUAGUCAAUGUGCGAGAGACAUCAUGGUUAUCAAAAAAAUAAGGGAUGAUUGUUUCAUUGGUACAUGAAAAAGAUUGGGUGCUUUAGCAUUUUUGCUAGUACUUCAUAUUUCAUGUAUAAAACCUCUGCUUGUUCAUUCCAAAGUCAAUAUGAAAGAAUAUUGUUAAGUUUGGACUAACCAGCUACUUUCACCCUUUUGCUGUGUGUGAGAGAAGCUUGAGGUAGGCAGAAGUGGAAAGGAAGGGCCGGUAAGGAUGCAAGGUAGGAGCUGUAGCAAUGAGCUAAUACUGAAUUCAUGUUGUUGUGGAAACUUAACGGAGUAAAGGUUAUACAUUUAAAUAUUAGUCAUCAUAGAAUUGCAUCCUUGAGGAAUAGUCUCAUAUAAUUGGUUUCUAUAUGUGAAGAACCCUUUUGAUAGUUGAAGAAAAGGGUUUGGUUUAGAAGUUGUUUAACGUUUUAGCGCUAAUGUUAUAGUAAAUGCAAAUCAAGUGGUUACUCUUUGUCAUUCCUGAUGUUAUUAUGUUGGCUAUGUCUGCUGCACCUUCAAUGGUUCUGCCUUUGGAUUCUAUCAAGUACACCGAGACCUUACAUGAUGAGUGAUUCUUUCAUUUGAAUGAAGUUUGCUUCUCUCUUUCCGUAUGGCCAAGUAGGGAGUAUAUUAUUGAACCCUCCUUCCCUUGAUGCUUCUGUAUGUUUAAUUCUGGUCUGGCUCUUAGUAGUGACACUCACACCAAGCCUUUUAACUGAUUUCAUCAAUUAUAGGCAGUACUAGUCUGCUACAACAGCUGAAGAUAUUCAUCUGUCUCUUUCUUGCUUGGUAUUAUAAUUGUUUAGGUUUGAUUCCGAAGAUUUCCCUGGUGAGGAAUUGUUGAUGCUAGUAACCCACUUUUUGCCAUCUUUUUGUUAUUGAAACCUGAGUUUCAUGACAUUUGAAACCGUUCUAUUGUGGUUUUAUUUUAAUUGCUUGUGCUUGGAGUCAUUAACUGAUGAGGGGAUGGUAUCUUGGA
Molecule: long non-coding RNA, 1521 nt
Filed under: Solanum tuberosum (potato)
Lineage: Eukaryota; Viridiplantae; Streptophyta; Magnoliopsida; Solanales; Solanaceae
Description: long non-coding RNA (STUB_LNC002461)
Source: RNAcentral